GUUAUGAUUGAAUAUAAACUACUGAAUAGAGAUAUAAAAUUUAAAAAAUGCCACUGUGGGAAAUGCAUCUUAUAAACACACUCAAAAAAAUGAGUUCGCAUAUUUUUGUAUAAAACCAUUUUUAAUUGACGUUGCAACUUUUGGGUUAAUAACAUUUAGAAAUUAUCUCCUAUUUUAUAUGUUUGAUAAUGUAAGAUUAAACAAAGUACAAGCUAUGUUUUAGUUAUGGAAAUUUGUCUUCGUGUUAGUAGGUAAUUUUGUAUAAUUUUCAUUAGGAUGUACUCAAUUUGUUUUUUUUUUUCAUUUUAAAAACUUUUAGGGGAACUAUACCCUUUUUCAGCCUAUUUCUAUUACCGGUCUAUCAGCACUU
Molecule: long non-coding RNA, 370 nt
Organism: Culex pipiens pallens (northern house mosquito)
Lineage: Eukaryota; Metazoa; Arthropoda; Insecta; Diptera; Culicidae
Exons: 2
Source: RefSeq, a predicted model, not a curated record